UUUGAGAGUUUGAUCCUGGCUCAGGACGAACGCUGGCGGCGUGCCUAAUACAUGCAAGUUGAGCGCUGAAGGUUGGUACUUGUACCGACUGGAUGAGCAGCGAACGGGUGAGUAACGCGUGGGGAAUCUGCCUUUGAGCGGGGGACAACAUUUGGAAACGAAUGCUAAUACCGCAUAAAAACUUUAAACACAAGUUUUAAGUUUGAAAGAUGCAAUUGCAUCACUCAAAGAUGAUCCCGCGUUGUAUUAGCUAGUUGGUGAGGUAAAGGCUCACCAAGGCGAUGAUACAUAGCCGACCUGAGAGGGUGAUCGGCCACAUUGGGACUGAGACACGGCCCAAACUCCUACGGGAGGCAGCAGUAGGGAAUCUUCGGCAAUGGACGAAAGUCUGACCGAGCAACGCCGCGUGAGUGAAGAAGGUUUUCGGAUCGUAAAACUCUGUUGGUAGAGAAGAACGUUGGUGAGAGUGGAAAGCUCAUCAAGUGACGGUAACUACCCAGAAAGGGACGGCUAACUACGUGCCAGCAGCCGCGGUAAUACGUAGGUCCCGAGCGUUGUCCGGAUUUAUUGGGCGUAAAGCGAGCGCAGGUGGUUUAUUAAGUCUGGUGUAAAAGGCAGUGGCUCAACCAUUGUAUGCAUUGG
Molecule: ribosomal RNA, 642 nt
Filed under: Enterorhabdus sp. P55
Lineage: Bacteria; Bacillati; Actinomycetota; Coriobacteriia; Eggerthellales; Eggerthellaceae
Description: bacterial SSU rRNA
Rfam family: Bacterial small subunit ribosomal RNA
Source: RNAcentral